This is a non-coding RNA of Tulasnella sp. 419, 74 nucleotides long. NCBI's taxonomy places the organism in Eukaryota, Fungi, Basidiomycota, Agaricomycetes, Cantharellales, Tulasnellaceae. The record is from the annotation of a GenBank genome assembly.
GAGACUGUAGCAUAAUCGGCUAAUGCCACUCGCUCAUAAUGGGUUAGAUAUAGGUUCGAGUCCUUUCGGUCUUA